GAUGAAGAACGUAGCGAAAUGCGACAAGUAAUGUGAAUUGCAGAAUUCCGUGAAUCAUCGAGUCUUUGAACGCACAUUGCGCCCCCUGGUAUUCCGGGGGGCAUGCCUGUCCGAGCGUCAUUGCUGCCCUCAAGCACGGCUUGUGUGUUGGGCCUCCGUCCUCCUCCCGGGGGACGGGCCCGAAAGGUAGCGGCGGCACCGCGUCCGGUCCUCGAGCGUAUGGGGCUUCGUCACCCGCUCUUGUAGGCCCGGCCGGCGCUUGCCGACACAUCAAUCUUUUUUCCAGGUUGACCUCGGAUCAGGUAGGGAUACCCGCUGAACUUAAGCAUAUCAAUAAGCGGAGGA
RNAcentral lists this unclassified non-coding RNA (345 nucleotides) under soil metagenome. Its description in RNAcentral is "partial contains 5.8S ribosomal RNA, internal transcribed spacer 2, and large subunit ribosomal RNA". The stretch from base 1 to 120 matches the Rfam family "5.8S ribosomal RNA", at positions 35 to 154 of the family's 154-position model. The record is from RNAcentral.